Molecule: ribosomal RNA, 825 nt
Filed under: uncultured bacterium
Lineage: Bacteria
Description: bacterial SSU rRNA
Rfam family: Bacterial small subunit ribosomal RNA
Source: RNAcentral
GGCUCAGGAUGAACGCUGGCGGUAUGCCUAACACAUGCAAGUCGAACGGUCACUUCGGUGAUAGUGGCGGACGGGUGAGUAACGCGUGAGAAUCUGCCUCUUGGUUGGGGACAACAGUUGGAAACGACUGCUAAUAACCAAUGUGCCGCAAGGUGAAAGAUUUAUUGCCAAGAGAGGAGCUCGCGUCUGAUUACCUAGUUGGUAGUGUAAGGGACUACCAAGGCAUCGAUCAGUAGCUGGUCUGAGAGGAUGAGCAGCCACACUGGGACUGAGACACGGCCCAGACUCCUACGGGAGGCAGCAGUGGGGAAUUUUCCGCAAUGGGCGAAAGCCUGACGGAGCAAUACCGCGUGAGGGAGGAAGGCUCUUGGGUUGUAAACCUCUUUUCUUAGGGAAGAACACAAUGACGGUACCUAAGGAAUAAGCAUCGGCUAACUCCGUGCCAGCAGCCGCGGUAAUACGGAGGAUGCAGGCGUUAUCCGGAAUUAUUGGGCGUAAAGCGUCCGUAGGUGGUUUUUCAAGUCUGCUGUCAAAGACCGUGGCUUAACCACGGAAAGGCAGUGGAAACUGAGAGACUAGAGUUCGGUAGGGGUAGCGGGAAUUCCCAGUGUAGCGGUGAAAUGCGUAGAUAUUGGGAAGAACAUCGGUGGCGAAGGCGCGCCUACUGGACCGAAACUGACACUCAGAGGACGAAAGCUAGGGGAGCGAAAGGGAUUAGAUACCCCUGUAGUCCUAGCUGUAAACGAUGGAAACCUAGGUGUGGCUUGUAUCGACCCGAGCCGUGCCGAAGCUAACGCGUUAAGUUUCCCGCCUGGGGAGUACGCA